RNAcentral lists this ribosomal RNA (568 nucleotides) under uncultured bacterium. Its description in RNAcentral is "bacterial SSU rRNA". It matches the Rfam family "Bacterial small subunit ribosomal RNA", at positions 338 to 916 of the family's 1533-position model. The record is from RNAcentral.
CCUACGGGAGGCAGCAGUGGGGAAUAUUGGGCAAUGGAGGAAACUCUGACCAAGCGACGCCGCGUGCGGGAUGAAGGCCUUCGGGUUGUAAACCGCUUUCAGCAGGGAAGAAGCGAAAGUGACGGUACCUGCAGAAGAAGCACCGGCUAACUAUGUGCCAGCAGCCGCGGUAAUACAUAGGGUGCAAGCGUUGUCCGGAAUUAUUGGGCGUAAAGAGCUCGUAGGUGGUUCGUCACGUCGGAUGUGAAAAUCUGGGGCUUAACCCCAGACCUGCAUUCGAUACGGGCGAGCUUGAGUAUGGUAGGGGAGUCUGGAAUUCCUGGUGUAGCGGUGGAAUGCGCAGAUAUCAGGAGGAACACCAAUGGCGAAGGCAGGACUCUGGGGCCAUUACUGACACUGAGGAGCGAAAGCGUGGGGAGCGAACAGGAUUAGGUACCCUGGUAGUCCACGCCGUAAACGGUGGGCACUAGUUGUGGGGACCUUCCACGGUCUCUGCGACGCAGCUAACGCAUUAAGUGCCCCGCCUGGGGAGUACGAUCGCAAGAUUAAAACUCAAAGGAAUUGACGG